GAGGAAUAUUGGUCAAUGGGCGAGAGCCUGAACCAGCCAAGUCGCGUGAAGGAAGACUGCCUUAUGGGUUGUAAACUUCUUUUAUACAGGAAUAAAAAGGCUUACGUGUAGGCCAUUGCAAGUACUGUAUGAAUAAGCAUCGGCUAACUCCGUGCCAGCAGCCGCGGUAAUACGGAGGAUGCGAGCGUUAUCCGGAUUUAUUGGGUUUAAAGGGUGCGCAGGCGGGCUUUUAAGUCAGCGGUGAAAUCUGGACGCUUAACGUCCAAACUGCCGUUGAAACUGGGAGUCUUGAGUAUGGAUGAAGUAGGCGGAAUUCGUUGUGUAGCGGUGACAUGCAUAGAUAUAACGAGGAACUCCGAUUGCGUAGGCAGCUUACUAAGCCAUAACUGACGCUCAUGCACGAAAGCGUGGGGAUCAAAC
Molecule: ribosomal RNA, 420 nt
Filed under: uncultured bacterium
Lineage: Bacteria
Description: bacterial SSU rRNA
Rfam family: Bacterial small subunit ribosomal RNA
Source: RNAcentral